AUGGCCCACUCCACAGCGGUUCUGCAACCGCUGCCUCCUGCCGCGCCCCAGAGAGAUGCCGGCGGCCCGCAGCGCUCUCCGGCUCGCUCGGGSAGCCGCCGGGAUUUCCUGCCUGCUCACGCCGUGCCCGAGCGCGGGGCGAGGCCCGGCCGCGCCGCUCGCAACCCCGAGCCCGGGCCUGCCCGGGCGAGCCGGACGCCGACCGCAGCCCCCUGCGGAGCAGCCCCGCCAGGGCACCCCCCUCCCCCGGGGGCACGACGCGCGGGGACCCCCGGCCCGGCCCUGCCCGCUCCCCCGGCCCGGCGCCGGCGCUCACCCGCCGCAGCCCGCUCCAACGUGGCAGCCGCGACCCCGCCUCGCGGGCGCCUUCCGGCCCCGCCCCUUCCGGCGGGGGCGCCUCAACCGUCACCAACGGUCACCAACGGUCGCCGCCCGCGAGACGGCGGCGCGCCGCAGCCCCCCCCCGCCCCGACUCACCCGGGCCCGGGGGAAGGGGUCGCGCGGGGGAGGGGUCGGGGGAAGCAGGGCCGGCCGCCGCCCGUCCUCAGCAGCUCAAACGCAGUAAUCACAGCGCGUCAGGAUGUGAACAGCAGCGAGAGGCUCAUCAUCGGGCGGGCGGCGGCUCGACACCCCCGCCGCGCUCUCAGGUGCCCCCACGUCGGCGCAACGGGGAGGGGGACGUUUUGGAGGACGGGGCGCCCCCUCCCAAGGGAGAGGGAGCUCGUCAGAGCGGGUGCCUGUGGAGAAGUGCUUUCGAAGGGCGCCAGCUACUCGAAGCACCACCAGCCGCUGCGGGGCUCCCUUUCGGCAGCUCAGGAAGCGCCCGCGCAACGGCGAGGCCGCCUCGCCUCUCCUAACGGCGUGCAAAAACGCAGAGAAGCGGCAGCAACUACAACAUCUCUUCUGCAGCCCAGUCGCUACUCCCAGAGCCCCGCCAUCGUCGUUACGCCUUCGCUCCACGAACCAGCAGCCCAGGGUGGAGGCGGCUCAGCCUGUCGCUGGGAGCGCUUGCACACGCUGCCCCCAACCCACCUCGCACGGCAGCCGCGCUUUGGGCCUCGCCCGCGCCUCAGCCGCGUCCCGCCGCCUCAGAGACCCCCCAGCAGGCGCCGGGCGGGCGCCGAGCCCAGGGCGGACGCCCCAGGGCCCCAUGGCGCGGCCGGGCCUCUCGCCGCUCCGAGGCCGCGCGCACGGCGGCGGUAG
RNAcentral lists this long non-coding RNA (1203 nucleotides) under Dromaius novaehollandiae (emu). RNAcentral's name for it is "lncRNA (ENSDNVG00000012708.1)". The record is from RNAcentral. Lineage: Eukaryota; Metazoa; Chordata; Aves; Casuariiformes; Dromaiidae.